This is a long non-coding RNA of Sitodiplosis mosellana (orange wheat blossom midge), 516 nucleotides long. RefSeq lists it as uncharacterized. Lineage: Eukaryota; Metazoa; Arthropoda; Insecta; Diptera; Cecidomyiidae. The record is from RefSeq and is a predicted model, not a curated record. The transcript has 3 exons.
ACAAUCCAAAUAACACAUAUUAUUCCGGUCAGACGAUCCAUGGCACGAUUUAUUUGAACUACUCCGAAAUUCGUGGAAUUCAUUUUCGUGUCAUUGGAAAGGCCAAGUGUGCAUGGACCGAAUGGUUUGUGCGAGAAUCAAAACCAGCUGACGGCAAAAGUGAAACAUCAGACUCCAGAUAUUAUGGCAAAGAAGAACAUUUGAAUCCGGCUGUGUAUGUUGUCGGUGCGAAAAACGGUCCAAAUUCCCACGCAUGCUUUUGGCACGGAUUAUAGAAAAAAAGCGACGGAAUGAUGAGCUCUCGACUGAACUCACCAAAUGGAAGAAAAUCGCUCUCAAAAUGAAUCAGCAGUAUCGUUUGCAAAGGGCAACUACCAGCACGGAAACAGUUGAUAUUUCAUAAAUAUGUAAGCAAUUCAUCAUAGGUAUAGGUUAUUGACUCAAUUUUUUUUUCGUCCGUAUUUUCAAUGCUCUGACAAUGUAUUGUUCUCGAUUUUAAAAGUGAAUAAAAUGAAU